GUGUCAGCCGCCGCGGUAAGACGAACUGUCCUAACGUUGUUCGGAAUCACUGGGCUUAAAGGGCGCGUAGGCGGUCCGACAAGUCAGGGGUGAAAUCUUGCAGCUCAACUGUAAAAGUGCCUUUGAUACUGUCGGUCUUGAGGGAGGUAGGGGUGUGCGGAACUUCCAGUGGAGCGGUGAAAUGCGUUGAUAUUGGAAGGAACGCCGGAGGCGAAAGCGGCGCACUGGACCUCUUCUGACGCUGAGGCGCGAAAGCUAGGGGAGCAAACGGGAUUAGAUACCCCGGUAGUCCUAGCCCUAAACGAUGGGUACUAGAUUGUAGACUUUCAUGGGUUUACAGUCGAAGCAAAAGUGUUAAGUACCCCGCCUGGGGAGUAUGGUCGCAAGGCUGAA
Molecule: ribosomal RNA, 393 nt
Filed under: uncultured bacterium
Lineage: Bacteria
Description: bacterial SSU rRNA
Rfam family: Bacterial small subunit ribosomal RNA
Source: RNAcentral